UACGGAGGGUGCAAGCGUUGUUCGGAAUCACUGGGCGUAAAGGGCGUGUAGGCGGUCCGCUAAGUCUGCUGUGAAAGCCCGGGGCUCACCCCCGGAAGGGCAUUGGAAACUGGCGGACUCGAGUCCCGGAGAGGAAGGUGGAAUUCCUGGUGUAGCGGUGAAAUGCGUAGAUAUCAGGAGGAAUACCGGUGGCGAAGGCGGCCUUCUGGACGGUGACUGACGCUGAGAAGCGAAAGCGUGGGGAGCAAACAGG
RNAcentral lists this ribosomal RNA (253 nucleotides) under uncultured bacterium. RNAcentral describes it as "partial 16S ribosomal RNA". It matches the Rfam family "Bacterial small subunit ribosomal RNA", at positions 524 to 776 of the family's 1533-position model. The record is from RNAcentral.